Molecule: ribosomal RNA, 253 nt
Filed under: uncultured bacterium
Lineage: Bacteria
Description: partial 16S ribosomal RNA
Rfam family: Bacterial small subunit ribosomal RNA
Source: RNAcentral
UACGUAGGGACCAAGCGUUGUUCGGAUUUACUGGGCGUAAAGGGCGCGUAGGCGGCGCGGUAAGUCACUUGUGAAAUCUCUGAGCUUAACUCAGAACGGCCAAGUGAUACUGCAGUGCUAGAGUGUGGAAGGGGCAAUCGGAAUUCUUGGUGUAGCGGUGGAAUGCGCAGAUAUCGGGAGGAACACCCGUAGCGAAGGCGGUUCUCUGGGCCAGUACUGACGCUGAGGAGCGAAAGCGUGGGGAGCAAACAGG